Long non-coding RNA from Portunus trituberculatus (swimming crab), 1327 nucleotides. RefSeq lists it as uncharacterized. NCBI's taxonomy places the organism in Eukaryota, Metazoa, Arthropoda, Malacostraca, Decapoda, Portunidae. The record is from RefSeq and is a predicted model, not a curated record. The transcript has 3 exons.
AUGAAGCCACUGAAAUUUCGGAAUGCCUGCCUGAUCCAUUGGAUGAACUAGACACGUUCAACUCCUUGCCACCUUCCCGUGACACGGACGAAGCAGACUUCCUUAAGGCACUCGGGGAUCUUUCAGGUCAUUUCCAUAGUGAAGAACAGAAAGGCGAGCCUCUCUCUGAGCGUUUGGCUUCCAUUCUCAACCCUAGUUUGAGGCGUCGGCCCUCGUCUGAAGGAAUAAAGUCUACUUGUAAUAAGAUCAAGGUUCCGAGCAAUGUACCGAACCUGAAAGUUCCUGUGACGAACACUGCCCUUUCCAAAGCCAUGAGUUUUGGAGGAAAGUUAAUUGAUGUCCGACUCUUUCAAACUAAUGGCCUGAUUACAAAAGCAAUAGUCCCCAUCGCUCGCUACAUUAGCGAUAUCGGGGACAAAAAAGGCAAGACCUUAAAUUCCUACCUAGAUGGACUAAAUAACAGCCUUAGGCUACUUUCGUCAGCUGUUAAUUAUAUAAAUCAGCUGAGAAAAGAAGUGGUAAGGAUCCACGUUCACGACUCGGCCUUGGUAGACCUUUGCAAAUGGGAGUGCGAGGUAGGAAAAGAUGACCUCUUUCCGUUUGAUGUGACGAAGAAAUGUGAGGAGAUACACAAGACAAGGAAAUUAGGAAGGCCCUCUUUCCAUCCUUACAAGUCCUCUGGAAGGAGGUUUGCUCCAAACAAGCAAACAACGAGACGGCACUAUCAAGUUCCCACUCAUUCUCGACCACGUUACCAGACGAGGCCUUUUUUAGGGCAGAGACAUCCCCAGGGGAAGGGGAUGCACUUACAAAAACCUCCCCAGUAAGCCUCUCCAGGUAUGAUCUCCAGAGCCCUAAAGAAAUUGCAAGAAGAGGAGGCAACAGUACUGAUGGUUUUACCACUGUGGCCAACCCAGUUUUGGUUCCCCAAAGCUCUUCAGUUAUUGGUGACCGAUCCCGUUCUCCUUCCUCGGAAUUCCCUAGUUCUACCACAAAAUCCAACUCUAACCCAUCCACAGGCACAAAGGUCAGCUUCGACCAGUAAAGCAGCACUAAAGCUACCUUUGUCAACAAUUCUAUCGACCAUUGGAUGGACCAAGGAAUCAACUUUUACCAAGUACUACAAGAAGCCAAUAAUUAAAGAUGGUCACUUUGCCAGGGCAAUCUUACCAUAAGUUGUGUAUAUGUCCUAACAAUAGGCAUAGGUUUCGUUUUCAUCUAUGUAUGUUUCUUUGGAUUUUGGUAUUAUAUACCUCUUUGUAUGUAUUACAUGCAAAAGUAUACCAUUGUUCUUGGAUUGGGUUACAUUAUAUGUUAACUAAAUACA